Molecule: long non-coding RNA, 2389 nt
Organism: Podarcis raffonei (Aeolian wall lizard)
Lineage: Eukaryota; Metazoa; Chordata; Lepidosauria; Squamata; Lacertidae
Exons: 2
Source: RefSeq, a predicted model, not a curated record
AGAGGAAGCGCGAGCCAAUCAGAAAGGGCUUCAGGCAAGGAAGGGGAGCCAAUAAGGAAAACGAAAUCCGCGAGGGCGGCGGUUUGAACGGCCUUUCAACGAACGGUGGCGAGCACGUAGAGCUACGAAAGAUGUAGACCUGCGUGUACGUUUCUCCUUGACGCGGGCGAUUUGCGAAACCCACCCGUGCUUUCCGUUCGAUAGGGCUCUCACUACAAAGAUGCGGAGCCCUAGAGCGACGCCGCUCUGAGCUCAGCCUGAGGGAGUGGGGGAAAAUAUUAUUAUAAGAAGUCUGUGACGUCCAGGAAGGAAGCAGUAUGGCCUAGUGGCUACGGUUUCUGACUCUGACCCUGGGUGACCAGGGCUUGAAUUCCCAUGCAAGCUCCCCGCGUGUACGACCUGGAGCCCUGUAGUAACAUCCGUUUUCAUUGACAGAAGAAAACAGCAGCAGCAUCUUCAUUCACCUUCAGCAGAGUUGAGGCCUGUGCCAAAGCACACCAGUAUUGCCCAAUGUCGAUGGUGAGUGUGGCUCUCACAAACCAUCCAGAGUGGGAUAUUAAUUAUAAUAAUUUAUUACUUGCAUCCUGUCCAUCUGACUAGGUUGUCCCAGCCACUCUGGGUGGCUUCCAACAGAAUAUAUAAAACACACAAUGAAACAACAGACAUUAUUUAAAAGCUUCUUGAUCCAGGUCUGCCUUCAGAUGUCUAUGGAAAGUCAUGUAAUUGUUUAUCUAUUUGACAUCUGAUAGGAGGGUCAAGCGAAAUGCCAUGGUUUUGCAAUGUUGUAAAGCGAGAAGGAACAUGACUUGCCAGUGAAUUAUGGGGAACAAAUGAUGAAUCAAAUAAAACCAAGGCUAUGUCCUGUUCAACAGGGAAAAUGGGAAAGUGUAUGGGAAGAGGACAGCUGGGGAGGAAAGAGAAGAAAUACUGCAUUGGACAUAUUGAGGAUUUAAGAUGAUAAAGCAUUUUAAGCUCGGACAAAUUCCUCUCAAGGAAAUUGCCUCAUUAAUGCUAAUAAAACCUGGUAGUAAUGAGGAAUGUAAAGGUUCUUAUCAAAGAAAAAAGUGCAAACAUUCACGUGUACAGAAUAGUAUAAACUUUUUAUUUUUUUUCUUUGUGAUUUAUCUGACAUUUGUUUUUACAAUAUAGAAAAGUGUAUUCUUUGAAUAGGUCUAGUAAAUAUAAAUUUCAAUCUAUUUUAGAUGUAAACCAGAACUAGAAAAUUAAUCCCCGACACCCUCCCCUCUCAAAAUCUGCCGACAAUGGGUAUGAUACAAAAGCAUUCCAGCUGGGCAUUUUCCAAUCAUGCCAGAAAUGCAGGAGAAACACUAAUUUGGAGACGUUGUACUGCACGAGUGUUUCAUAGAUUCCUCCCAGUAUCUUGAUGUUAAUUUUAACUAACUUGUUCAGCAGUUUCAUGCAGGGAACCAUGUUCAAAAACACAAAAGCAGGAGUAAGAAGACGGGAAGAACCAAGCUAAAUACAGGAAAGAGCUUGUUCUAAAGGGGGGGAGGGAGUGGGGGACAGAAAAGUACAUCUUUGAUUGCACCUUCUUCAUAUCUUUUACACGCAAUUCCAUCAUACAUAAUCUACAACCGGAAUCCAAACUUCACAAAAGGUUUUCUGCACACUUAUAAAUACACAUCACAAAAGGUGCAAGUUAGAAUAAGACACAAGAGUAUGUACAAAAUUAAACACAUAUUUAGUUCUAGAUCAAAGUAUGCAUGUUCAAAAAAAUAACUUGAUCAAGUAUUAUUUUAUCCACUUACACUAAUUUACAUUUAUACAUCUCUUAUCAUAUGGACACUUAUGGAAUUAGUAAAAAGGUGAGCUUCACCAUCUACUCUGAAAAGGUAACACACUGACUUUUGACUCCAAGUCAAGAGUUCUACUCAUAAAACAAUUCUGGUAAAAGGAAAAACAGCUUCCCUUUCAGGGUUGAGUGUACGUAUAUGCCAGCCUGCUAUGUGUAUACAUACACAGUUACAAAACAAAAUAUAUAUGUACAGUUCUAUGCUGUCCCUUUGGGGGUAAAGAACUGAAGUAUUACAGAGCAGACUAAGAUAAUAGCAAGUGCUUGCUAAUUCAAGCAUGAGAUUUAUAUCCAUUCAUGAAACUUAGAAUGAUUGAAUCAUUUGCUGCAUUAGAAAACCAUGCAAGUGUGUUUAGCAAUUUAAUAAUAUUUGUUACAAAGGCUUUCGCUUUGAAGCAUCUCCACCCAAAAUAAUGCUAUUUCAUGGGGGGUGGGGUGGAGUGGGGGGUUCUGUUCCACCAAGGAAUUAUGAGGUUUAGCUUUGUCUUACUAGGACGUGUCAGCCACUGCACUGCUAAAACAUACUUUUUAAUAAGUAAGCUAAAACUUGAGGUGUAUACAAAAACAGAAACAAAA